This is a long non-coding RNA of Dendroctonus ponderosae (mountain pine beetle), 933 nucleotides long. RefSeq lists it as uncharacterized. The record is from RefSeq and is a predicted model, not a curated record. The transcript is spliced from 3 exons. Lineage: Eukaryota; Metazoa; Arthropoda; Insecta; Coleoptera; Curculionidae.
AAAAAAUUUUUUGAAACGUAUUGGUUAGUUCUCUUUUAUUUGUUGAUCUGAAUUCUUCGACAAUAUUUGCUGUGAAUGUCGCUCUGGGAUUGAUCAGAUUAAGUUUAACUAGGAAGGCUUAACCAUCAUUGAUCACGACCCGCAACUCAAAUUAAUGAUUUUUACGGCGUGAUACUAAAAUAACGGGAAUUAAGGUGUAAUAAUAUUUCCGGAGACUCGAACGACACGUUAGAGAAAGAGUUUGAAUGACAGGUACCAUUUGAGAACCAGUGCAGUAAACGCCAUCGAAGUUAAAUAGCGUUAUUCUGGAAAACAUAGAUAUUAGAAUAGACAAAAAUGAGAUCAAACAAGUGAGAUAGACCAGGUAUUUAGGAGUGCUAUUUGAUGAAGGUUGGAUUUAUUGCAAGAGCGCGAGGUAGUUUGUCAAUGGGUACUAAAUUAAUGUUAUACAACAGCAUACCUGCUGCACAUCUGGAGUAUUGUUCUGCCUUAUUGUAUGGCCUAUCGGGUUAUAAAAUCAAACAACUGCAAAUUCGACAGAAUAGAGCAUUAAGAACUAUUUUAAGAUGCGGUAAAUACACAUCUAUUGCUACAAUGCAUAAUGCCUUCAACGUUAUGUCUGUUAAGCAAAAAAUUGUGUUCAAUGUUCAUGUGUUUUUCUUUAAGACAAAAAGUGGAAUGUUACCAGAAUACAUUUGUAAUUGAAUUAAGUUUUUUUUGGGGAUGUCAUUCUUAUAAUACUAGAAACCGACAUUAUUUUAUAUUGCCAGAAAGAUGUAAUACAAGUCAAAUGCUCAACUCCGUAAUGUCUAAGGGCUUGUUAGAUUGCAAUGUGUUGCCUAACCACAUAAAGCAUUGUGAUAGUUUUAGUGGUUUUAUAAAGCCGUUAAGAGCACAUUUAUUGUCUUUGACGUUUGAAUAAUAAAAAAAAAA